CUGCCCAAUGUAUUAUAAAUGGCCGCAGUAUAUUGACUGUGCAAAGGUAGCAUAAUAAUUUGUUUAUUAAUUGUAAACUGGAAUGAAUGGGAUUACGAAAAUCUAGCUGUCUCGAAUUUCUUUAUUGAAAUUAUUCUUUAUUGUGAAGAAACUUAAAUGAGUUUGAGGGACAAGAAGACCCUAUAAAGCUUUAUAUAAUUAUUAAAAUUUUUAGUUAUGUAUAUUUGAUUGGGGCGAUCGAUGAUUUAUUAAUAAAACAUCAUUUAAGUAAUUUGACAUAUUAGUCUAGGUUUGACCCUCAAUGAGAGCGAAAGAUUAAGUUACUUUAGGGGUAACAGGCUAAUUUUUAUAUAGGAGUUCCUAUCUAAUAUAAUGUUUGGCACCUCGAUGUUGACUUAAAAUUCCUAUAUGGCGCAAGAGCUUUUAUAAGGGGGUUUGUUCAACCUUUAAAAUU
RNAcentral lists this ribosomal RNA (454 nucleotides) under Hirudo medicinalis (medicinal leech). RNAcentral describes it as "partial 16S ribosomal RNA". It matches the Rfam family "Bacterial large subunit ribosomal RNA", at positions 1859 to 2595 of the family's 2925-position model. The record is from RNAcentral. Lineage: Eukaryota; Metazoa; Annelida; Clitellata; Hirudinida; Hirudinidae.